CCCUUAGAUGUUCUGGGCCGCACGCGCGCUACACUGAUGCAUUCAACGAGUUUCUUCCUGGUCCGAGAGGAAUGGGUAACCUUUUGAAAGUGCAUCGUGAUAGGGAUAGACUAUUGCAAUUAUUGGUCUUCAACGAGGAAUUCCUAGUAGACGUAGUUCAUCAGACUGCAUCGAUUACGUCCCUGCCCUUUGUACACACCGCCCGUCGCUCCUACCGAUUGAAUGCUCAGGUGAGCCAUUCGGACUUUCAUCAUGCCGGUUUCCAGUUUUGAUGAAGGAAAGUCUUGCGAACCUUAUCAUUUAGAGGAAGGAGAAGUCGUAACA
Molecule: ribosomal RNA, 324 nt
Filed under: uncultured eukaryote
Lineage: Eukaryota
Description: partial 18S ribosomal RNA
Rfam family: Eukaryotic small subunit ribosomal RNA
Source: RNAcentral